RNAcentral lists this ribosomal RNA (474 nucleotides) under uncultured bacterium. RNAcentral's name for it is "bacterial SSU rRNA". It matches the Rfam family "Bacterial small subunit ribosomal RNA", at positions 34 to 507 of the family's 1533-position model. The record is from RNAcentral.
CGCUGGCGGCGUGCUUAAUACAUGCAAGUCAACUUGACUUUAGAUAGCAAUAUCGAAAAGUAGGGUGGCGCACGGGUGCGUAACGCGUAGGUAAUCUGCCCUGAGGUCUGACAUAACCCGUCGAAAGGCGGGCUAACAUCAGAUGAUAUAUAGUCACGACAUCGUGGAAAUAUCAAAUCUUCGGAGCCUUGGGAUGAGCCUGCGUCUGAUUAGGUAGUUGGCGGAGUAAUAGCCCACCAAGCCUACGAUCAGUAGCUGGUCUGAGAGGAUGAUCAGCCACACUGGAACUGAGACACGGUCCAGACUCCUACGGGAGGCAGCAGUAAGGAAUAUUGCUCAAUGGGGGAAACCCUGAAGCAGCAACGCCGCGUGAAGGACGAAAUACUUUUGUAUGUAAACUUCUGUAAGAUGGGAAAAAUAUUCUCCUCGGGAGAAUUGAUUGUACCAUCAGAGUAAGCCCCGGCUAACUACGUG